Molecule: transfer RNA, 71 nt
Filed under: Mesocricetus auratus (golden hamster)
Lineage: Eukaryota; Metazoa; Chordata; Mammalia; Rodentia; Cricetidae
Rfam family: tRNA
About the family: Transfer RNA (tRNA) molecules are approximately 80 nucleotides in length. Their secondary structure includes four short double-helical elements and three loops (D, anti-codon, and T loops).
Source: Rfam by way of RNAcentral
GGUGAUGUGGUUCAGUAGUAGAGUGUUUGUUUGGAACGCCGAGGUCCUGGGUUUCCUUCCCAGCAACCCCU